GACGAACCGUCCAAACGUUAUUCGGAAUCACUGGGCUUACAGAGUUCGUAGGCGGUCUGGAAAGUUGGGUGUGAAAUCCCUCGGCUCAACCGAGGAACUGCGCUUGAAACUACCAGACUCGAGGGGGAUAGAGGAAAGCGGAACUGAUGGUGGAGCGGUGAAAUGCGUUGAUAUCAUCAGGAACACCGGUGGCGAAGGCGGCUUUCUGGGUCUUACCUGACGCUGAGGAACGAAAGCCAGGGGAGCGAAC
RNAcentral lists this ribosomal RNA (250 nucleotides) under uncultured Planctomycetia bacterium. RNAcentral's name for it is "partial 16S ribosomal RNA". It matches the Rfam family "Bacterial small subunit ribosomal RNA", at positions 524 to 773 of the family's 1533-position model. Lineage: Bacteria; Pseudomonadati; Planctomycetota; Planctomycetia. The record is from RNAcentral.